This 349-nucleotide unclassified non-coding RNA is filed under the name fungal sp. RNAcentral's name for it is "partial internal transcribed spacer region". The stretch from base 1 to 44 matches the Rfam family "Eukaryotic small subunit ribosomal RNA", at positions 1788 to 1831 of the family's 1831-position model. Lineage: Eukaryota; Fungi. The record is from RNAcentral.
GUCGUAACAAGGUUUCCGUAGGUGAACCUGCGGAAGGAUCAUUACCACACCGAUCCAAGAUCUUUUUUCACCGUGAAGCGCGGUCCCCUGGAUACUGGCGAAGCUGUUAGGUUGGCACUGUAAGCAGUUGCCGGCUGGACGCGUGCUGGUGGGACUGCACACCAAAUGUGCUGUUGGGCUGUGUAACAGCAGCCUUUCAGUGCGACCGUCUCUUUUUUGCGACAUUAACCGGCCUUGACCCAACAAACUGAACCAAAAGGGCACGACCAGCCGUCACCUAGUGUGUUGGCAAGUCUGCUUUCCAAAGUAAAUACCUUACAACUUUCAGCGAUGGAUGUCUAGGUUCCCA